This 460-nucleotide ribosomal RNA is filed under the name uncultured bacterium. RNAcentral describes it as "partial 16S ribosomal RNA". It matches the Rfam family "Bacterial small subunit ribosomal RNA", at positions 338 to 795 of the family's 1533-position model. The record is from RNAcentral.
CCUACGGGUGGCAGCAGUGAGGAAUAUUGGUCAAUGGGCGGGAGCCUGAACCAGCCAAGUCGCGUGAGGGAAGACGGUCCUAUGGAUUGUAAACCUCUUUAGGCGGGGAGCAAUGCCGGGCACGCGUGCCCGGAGGGAGAGUACCCGCAGAAUAAGCAUCGGCUAACUCCGUGCCAGCAGCCGCGGUAAUACGGAGGAUGCGAGCGUUAUCCGGAUUUAUUGGGUUUAAAGGGUGCGUAGGCGGAUUUUUAAGUCAGCGGUAAAAUGUCCGGGCUCAACCCCUUCCCGCCAUUGAAACUGGCGCUCUUGAGUGGAAGAGAAGUAUGCGGAAUGCGUGGUGUAGCGGUGAAAUGCAUAGAUAUCACGCAGAACCCCGAUUGCGAAGGCAGCAUGCCGGCUUCCGACUGACGCUGAAGCACGAAAGCGUGGGGAUCGAACAGGAUUAGAUACCCUUGUAGUC